This 538-nucleotide ribosomal RNA is filed under the name uncultured bacterium. RNAcentral describes it as "partial 16S ribosomal RNA". The record is from RNAcentral.
GGAGUUAGCCGGUGCUUCUUCUGUGAGUGAUGUCCUUCCUGCCGGCUAUUAACCCGCAGGCCUUCUUCCUCACUGAAAGUGCUUUACAACCCGAAGGCCUUCUUCACACACGCGGCAUGGCUGGAUCAGGGUUGCCCCCAUUGUCCAAUAUUCCCCACUGCUGCCUCCCGUAGGAGUCUGGGCCGUGUCUCAGUCCCAGUGUGGCUGAUCAUCCUCUCAGACCAGCUACGGAUCGUCGCCUUGGUGAGCCGUUACCUCACCAACCAGCUAAUCCGACAUAGGCUCAUCCGAUAGCGCGAGGCCCGAAGGUCCCCCGCUUUCCCCCGUAGGGCGUAUGCGGUAUUAGCCUGGGUUUCCCCAGGUUAUCCCCCACUACCGGGCAGAUUCCUAUGCAUUACUCACCCGUCCGCCGCUCGCCACCAGGGAGCAAGCUCCCCGUGCUGCCGCUCGACUUGCAUGUGUUAGGCCUGCCGCCAGCGUUCAAUCUGAGCCANANAGACCAAGACUGACUCGGGACUCGGGGCUAGGGCGAACGACG